AGUGUGUCUCUCAGCUCCUGCACCAAGGAGUGAUUUAGAUGCUCGUCCCAGAGGUUUCUGAAAAGUACUUGCCAGGAGUCCAGGAGGACGAUUGCAGCAGGAAACACACAACACUGCAGGAAGAAAAUCACAUUCAUGGAGCAGCUCAUUAGGAGGCCAGACCCGUUGAUGUGGUCGUCGGCACUGGACCGGAGCUCUGAACGACUUGUCAAGCAACAAGAGAAUUUGACUCACUUCAUCCACUCCUCCUUCAAACACAGCAGACAAUGGGACACCACCUCCACAGACAAAUUCUCAUUGGACAGUGCCACCUCCAGUUUGUUCAGUAAGUGAAGAAUAUCAAUGUUACUACUGAAUAAGGGCACAAGAUUAAAAGCAAGCCAACUAUAGCAUUAGAAUACAGAUGAAUGGAAAACUUGGAUGAACUCAAUAGCAAAAUUGUUUGACACUGUGAAUCAUUUUACAUGACAAUAAAAAGUUGAGCCAUCGCUUACCUUUAUCAGUGGGUUGCGUGCUCGCACUAGUGAUGGAAAACUGAUAAGCAGAAGAGAUUGCCUCUCCAUCUACAACAGAAUUCUGACUGCCUGGGUUGGAACUGACAUCCACCAACACUGAAAACUCUACAGGGCAAACAAAGAUUGUGAAAUUCAAUUGAAGAUAUAUAUAUGUUUAAAAAGACACUCAUUGUUCUACCUGAAGAGCUGACGUGACUUGGGAUGGAUACGUCUGGACUAAGACCCAGGAAGUUGCAUUUGUAGGCCUCCUCAUACUGAGAACUGUAUGGCACAGAUCGAACACAGCCAACAGGUAACAGGGACUGAUGGGAGAAAAACAGUGAAAGACAAUUACCAUAAAACAUUUCCACAUUUAAAACUGCCUCUGGUGGAAACAAACAGCCCCGCAGAAUGGUUACUUUGCUGCCUCUUGUGGUAGAGGAUGUCACUUCCAUGGUCAGGAAAGAUGCCAAACUAAAAUACCACACUCAUCACUUGUAUGCCACAUAUGAGUUGCGUAGGUGGAAACUGAUCCUGUUCGCUAGAGGUCUGCUAUGAAUGCAAUCAGCUUCAAAUGACUUGUUUUAAUGGGACAACACCCCCACUUUGAAUGUCUGCUCAGACUUGUCAGGGAUCCAAAAGUACUACGACACUAAAACAAUGAGCUGAGGAACUUGGAUUUGG
Long non-coding RNA from Synchiropus splendidus (mandarinfish), 1178 nucleotides. RefSeq lists it as uncharacterized. The transcript has 4 exons. The record is from RefSeq and is a predicted model, not a curated record. NCBI's taxonomy places the organism in Eukaryota, Metazoa, Chordata, Actinopteri, Syngnathiformes, Callionymidae.